AAAGAUGGUUGACCAUAGAACAUGCGCUGGCUCUGUGUCGUAUGUAAUAUGGUCCACGUCUUCU
This is a microRNA precursor of Camelus ferus (Wild Bactrian camel), 64 nucleotides long. The record is from Rfam. Lineage: Eukaryota; Metazoa; Chordata; Mammalia; Artiodactyla; Camelidae.